GAUGAAGAACGCAGCGAAAUGCGAUAAGUAAUGUGAAUUGCGGAAUUCAGUGAAUCAUCGAAUCUUUGAACGCACAUUGCGCCCGCCAGUAUUCUGGCGGGCAUGCCUGUUCGAGCGUCAUUUCAACCAUCAAGCCCCCGGCUUGUGUUGGGGACCUGCGGCUGCCGCAGGCCCUGAAAAGCAGUGGCGGGCUCGCUGUCACACCGAGCGUAGUAGCAUACAUCUCGCUCUGGGCGUGCUGCGGGUUCCGGCCGUUAAACCACCUUCAUAACCCAAGGUUGACCUCGGAUCAGGUAGGAAGACCCGCUGAACUUAAGCAUAUCAAUAAGCGGAGGA
This 336-nucleotide unclassified non-coding RNA is filed under the name soil metagenome. RNAcentral's name for it is "partial contains 5.8S ribosomal RNA, internal transcribed spacer 2, and large subunit ribosomal RNA". The stretch from base 1 to 120 matches the Rfam family "5.8S ribosomal RNA", at positions 35 to 154 of the family's 154-position model. The record is from RNAcentral.